Molecule: long non-coding RNA, 400 nt
Organism: Dendrobium catenatum
Lineage: Eukaryota; Viridiplantae; Streptophyta; Magnoliopsida; Asparagales; Orchidaceae
Exons: 2
Source: RefSeq, a predicted model, not a curated record
CUCUGCUUCGUGCCACUGCAUGUCUAUCUCUUGAUCGCUAGUGUGCUGCUUGAUUGAGUUGCCUUGUUCAAUUUCUCGCUUCGUUUCGAUCGGAUGAUUGGCGAUGAGAUUGAUUGGAAUGAGCAAGGUUGAAAUUCUUUGUUCUUUUAUUUAGUUUUUUUGCCCUUUAUUUCUUCUGGCUUGGUUGGACAAAGUGGAAGUAAUGCUGCUUCGGAUUGUUCGACGCAACGCCUUGUUUAUCAGAUGAAGGUUUUUUUCCUGGAAAAUGGGCUAUUAUUAUUUGAAAAUAUGAAAUUGUAUUAUUGGCGAUGUGCUAUAAUUGUAUGAUGCUUCUAGCUGUCAGUGUGAUCUUGCUGCUUUUGAAGGAUCACUUUUUGUAUUCUAAAGAUUGAUUUUUUUU